RNAcentral lists this unclassified non-coding RNA (400 nucleotides) under uncultured fungus. RNAcentral describes it as "sequence contains ITS1". The stretch from base 1 to 106 matches the Rfam family "5.8S ribosomal RNA", at positions 49 to 154 of the family's 154-position model. The record is from RNAcentral. Lineage: Eukaryota; Fungi.
UGAAAUGCGAAACGUAAUGCGAUUUGCAUGAAUCUGUGAGUCAUCAAGUUUUUGAACGCACCUUGCACCAUAUGAGCAAUCGUAUGGUAUACCUGUUUGAGAAUCGUAAAACCCUAUUCCUUCCUAUUCUUUAUGGUGUAGGAGGGAGACUUGUCAGUUGUGCGGGUGGGUAUCCUCCCGUACUCUGAUUAAAGGUAGUAAGUGUGCCUUUGGGCUGGUGGCCCGGGACAUUGUGUGCUAGAGACCGUGUCGCGUGUCUUCUCACAAUGCGUCCUGGGCUAUUCCAAAACUGGUCCUAAGGCCGCUUCCACAGUAGUGUGUGUGUGUAUGGUGCCUCACGGCACUUGCGCCGCGCUCUACAACUCUCACUUUUUGAUCUCAAAUCAGGUAAGGCUACCCG